RNAcentral lists this ribosomal RNA (285 nucleotides) under Salmonella enterica subsp. enterica serovar Typhimurium. RNAcentral's name for it is "partial 23S ribosomal RNA". It matches the Rfam family "Bacterial large subunit ribosomal RNA", at positions 486 to 672 of the family's 2925-position model. The record is from RNAcentral. Lineage: Bacteria; Pseudomonadati; Pseudomonadota; Gammaproteobacteria; Enterobacterales; Enterobacteriaceae.
GAUAGUGAACCAGUACCGUGAGGGAAAGGCGAAAAGAACCCCGGCGAGGGGAGUGAAAAAGAACCUGAAACCGUGUACGUACAAGCAGUGGGAGCCCCACCACUAAGCCAGUGGUGAACUCCACAUCCGCAUCCUUUGCUGAGGAUACGGUUAACGGAGCGAAAGCGACGUUCAACCGCAAAACAAGCAGAGGGGGCUUAGUGGUGGGGUGACUGCGUACCUUUUGUAUAAUGGGUCAGCGACUUAUAUUCUGUAGCAAGGUUAACCGAAUAGGGGAGCCGGAGG